Molecule: long non-coding RNA, 1298 nt
Organism: Gossypium arboreum
Lineage: Eukaryota; Viridiplantae; Streptophyta; Magnoliopsida; Malvales; Malvaceae
Exons: 2
Source: RefSeq, a predicted model, not a curated record
CAUUCGGCCCAACAUACUGCCCUUUUGAGAAUGUGGCCAGCCUCUCCACGAAUUACCACCAGAUCUAGAGCCAUCAAAAAAACCAAUCCGUCCAGAGAGGUCAUCACCUUGUCCAUCAGCCGCAAAGGAGAAUCGCACCGUGGUGGAGGCGUUCGGGCCGCCAUAGUCACGGUUGAAAUGAUAGAAGCAGUGCUGCGCCAAAUGAUCGAACUGGCUACAUAUUUGGCACUGUGUUUGUGGUUGAAAUCCACGUCCACGCAAACCUAUCGUAGACCACCCGCCAUGUACAUCGCGUGAAUCGGAGUCGACCACCACAGUAACCAAAGGGGUUUUAACUAGAUGGGCAUGCAUUGGAACCUUAUACGCCGCUCGUAUCUGUCGAAUUUCAAACUCCAAAAGGACAUCAACUAAUCACUGAAAUGGAAGGGGUUCCGUCGAGAAUGAGGCCAAGGUCAAUACUGCAUCAAAAUCCGAUGAAAGACCAACCGAAACAACUUCUACUUUUUCGGCCUCUGACACCGCUGACCCAGAUGCUGCAAGUAACGCACAAAUGUUUUGUAUUUUUGCUACAUAUUCCUUUACAAUUAAAUCACCCUUCUUUGUAGAGUGCAAAUCAUGUUUCAUUCGAGAGAUUUUCGCACCAGUAGAAGUAGCGAAAAGACGAUUCGCUGUGCUCCAUAUUUCACAUGCAGAUUUAGCAGAUGUAAAGCAUGAUAAAAGAGAUGAACUGAUUGUAGAGAUGAGCCAAGAGGCUAACAACUUAUCUUGUUGAUUAAAAACAGAUGCAUCUGGAUUUGGAGUAAGAGCACCUUCUGGAGACGCAACGAACCUAGGCGAAGCAGACAACGUGCCUUCUAAGAAUCCUUGUAGCUCACACCCUCUGUUAUCAACCUAAUAUGAUACUGCCACUAGACAAAAUUUCCUUCCUCAAGUUUCAUUGUGUCAUUGCAAGGAAAGGAUUGGAUUAGACAUGUUCUGGAAAAUGACGGACUCUAAUGAUCAACAGAGGUAAAAUCGGCUGAUGGUGCUAUGAUGCGGAAGUAGAAGCACGUACCAGGACUAGGCGACUGAAACCAUAUUAGUUGGUCUUCAUACUUAGGACUGGACGUCGUGCGGGAGCUCGGAUUGAUUUUCUGGUUAAGUAAAUAAAUUGAUUUAUGAUUAUUUUAUUUAUGAUAUUUUGGUUUGUAAAAUUUUUUUAUGGUUUCUAUUCAUAUUCGUCGAAUUUUGGUAUUUUUAACGUAAAACAAUGAUAACGUACGAUUUAUCAUAUUCGAAAUCGGUUUUCAAAAUUAAAA